CAGUAGCCGCGGUAAGACAGAGGAUGCAAGCGUUAUCCGGAAUGAUUGGGCGUAUAGCGUCUGUAGGUGGCUUUUCAAGUCCGCCGUCAAAUCCCAGGGCUCAACCGGGGAAGUGGCACCGAUACGAGCGGUCUUGAGGGGGGUAGGGGGGUCUGGAACUUCCGGUGGAGCGGUGAAAUGCGUUGAGAUCGGAAGGAACGCCCGAGGCGAAAGCGAGGCCCUGGACCCUUUCUGACGCUGAGACGCGAAAGCCAGGGGAGCGAACGGGAUUAGAUACCCCCGUAGUCCCUGUCUCUUAUAC
RNAcentral lists this ribosomal RNA (301 nucleotides) under uncultured bacterium. RNAcentral describes it as "partial 16S ribosomal RNA". It matches the Rfam family "Bacterial small subunit ribosomal RNA", at positions 509 to 807 of the family's 1533-position model. The record is from RNAcentral.